RNAcentral lists this ribosomal RNA (1152 nucleotides) under Triticum aestivum (bread wheat). Its description in RNAcentral is "partial small subunit ribosomal RNA". Lineage: Eukaryota; Viridiplantae; Streptophyta; Magnoliopsida; Poales; Poaceae. The record is from RNAcentral.
AUGGCGGACGCGGUGGAUGCCCGUCGGGUCUGCGGGAUGCCGGAGAAGGCGCAGCUCCACGUGGCGAUGCUGGCGCUGCAGUUCGGCUACGCCGGCUUCCACGUCGUGUCGCGCCUCGCGCUCAACAUGGGCAUCAGCAAGCUCGUCUUCCCCGUCUACCGCAACAUCAUCGCGCUCUUCCUCCUCGUCCCCUUCGCCUACUUCCUCGAGAAGAAGGACCGGCCGAGGCUCACCCUCAGCUUCGCCGUCCAGUUCUUCUUCCUCGCCCUCUGCGGCAUCACCGCCAACCAGGGCUUCUACCUGCUCGGCCUCGACAACACCUCCCCCACCUUCGCCUCCGCCAUCCAGAACUCCGUGCCGGCCAUCACCUUCGGCAUGGCCGCCGCGCUCCGCAUCGAGAAGGUGCGGCUCGACCGCCGCGACGGCGUCGCCAAGGUGCUGGGCACGCUCGCGUGCGUCGCCGGCGCGUCCGUCAUCACGCUCUACCAGGGCCCAACCAUCUUCGCCCCUGCCGACGACAAGCCGUCGUUGCAGCAGGAGGUGCCGUUUCUGGCGGCCGUGGCUGGGGAGGGCAAGAACUGGACGCUGGGGUGCGUGUACCUCAUCGGCCACUGCCUCUCGUGGUCCGGCUGGCUGGUGCUGCAGGCGCCCGUGCUCAAGAAGUACCCCGCGAGGCUGUCCGUCACCUCCUACACCUGCUUCUUCGGCGUCAUCCAGUUCCUCAUCAUCGCCGCCUUCUUCGAGAGGGAUGCCGGCGCCUGGGUCUUCCACUCCGGCUCCGAAGUCUUCACCAUCCUCUACGCCGGCUUCAUCGCGUCCGGCGUGGCGUUCGCAGUGCAGAUCUGGUGCAUCGACCGCGGGGGCCCGGUGUUUGUGGCGGUGUACCAGCCCGUGCAGACGCUGGUCGUCGCCAUCAUGGCCUCCCUCACCCUCGGCGAGAAGUUCUACCUCGGCGGGAUCAUCGGCGCCGCGCUCAUCAUCACCGGCCUCUACCUCGUGCUCUGGGGCAAGAGCGAGGAGAGGUCGCGCAUCGGCAAGGAGGCGGCGGUCAUGGCCGCAGCUUCCUCCGGCAGUGGCGAGCGCGAGGUCCGGAGCGCCAAGCUGGCCUCCUCCAUCACCCAGCCUCUCCUCCCGCCUUCCGACAAUGUCUGA